GAGGGUACAGCUCGAGUGGUAGAGCGCAUGCCUGACAUGCACGAAGUCCUGGGUUCAAUCCUGGUACCUCCG
RNAcentral lists this transfer RNA (72 nucleotides) under Camelus bactrianus (Bactrian camel). It matches the Rfam family "tRNA". Rfam says of the family: Transfer RNA (tRNA) molecules are approximately 80 nucleotides in length. Their secondary structure includes four short double-helical elements and three loops (D, anti-codon, and T loops). The record is from Rfam by way of RNAcentral. RNAcentral also lists the same sequence under 1 other name. Lineage: Eukaryota; Metazoa; Chordata; Mammalia; Artiodactyla; Camelidae.